Misgurnus anguillicaudatus (oriental weatherfish) is the source of this 806-nucleotide non-coding RNA. NCBI's taxonomy places the organism in Eukaryota, Metazoa, Chordata, Actinopteri, Cypriniformes, Cobitidae. The record is from RefSeq and is a predicted model, not a curated record.
GUAUGAAUAUGAAUAAAUCUAGCCGUGAAACAAACCGGAUAAAUUCUAUGAGAUUGGUUUACAUACAAAUUUCAGGAAACUGACUUUAGUAGAAGCGGAAAUGACGUCUAUUCACACUCCAGUCAGGAGGUGGCGCCAAAAUCAAAAAUAGACGCUACAGCACAUGGACUUCGCCAUUUUGCAUUGGACUGGAUCGUCAUCUCACUAGUCUACCAAAUUGUAGGUGAGUAAAGUUAACAAGUUUGAUGUGAUUAUCUUAAAUAUAAUUGUCUGUUGUUUAAUUACAUGUGUGACGCGUUGCAUGUUUCAGAGUAAAAUACACCUCACUACACAGACGGUCUGUUGGAAUGUAAGUUGCCCUGCAGUGUCUGUUGCUUUUAUUGGUUAAUUUUUGUGGUUUAAUGUUUGAAACCUAAGAAAUAAAUAAAGUCAUAGGCUACUGUAGGCUUAUCAGAAUAAAAUAAUCAUAAUCUCUGUGACUUUAUUAACAAAAGAAUGUUACAAUUAUACUAUGUUGUUGAGUGCAUUGUGUGUCUAACUAAAACUUUUUUUUUUACAGAUACAGCAUCAUUUCAUCGUCUAUAUGGUGGGACAACCUGCUAGACAGGUUGAAGACAUCUGUAUCUACCUCAAAGAAGGCAUGGAGAGACAGAUUAAAGAAUAUGUGAAUUGUGAAAUUGGUGAGUUGGGGAUUGCACAGACAGUGGAAGUUUUGCAAAACCUACUUGGUGUCACACAUGGGUGUGAAAUUACUUUUUGGACUCAUUUAUGCACUUAAACGGAACUACCAGAAGAACAUCAGGUGC